AUCAACACCAUCACUUACCUCAUUUUCUUCCUCAUUCUCCCCAUCACAAUAACUCAUUGAAGCCCCAUUCCCACCACCAUUUCGAACCCUUCACCCGACCACUACCAUCACAAAUGCCCAUGUUAACUACCAUGCAACCGUCACGACCGCUAAUAAACAUCAACACCCAGGUUACGACGACUGUGGGUCUGUGUCCUGGCUCAAACCAGGCGAGUGUGUUACCGUCACGUCUCCUAACUUCCCUCAAGAUUACCCCAAGGAUUCCAGGUGUCUGUGGGUGUUCGAGGGAAUCGAGUCGGCGACCAAAAUCACGAGCUGUUGCAGGACCUUCCAUCUGCAACACAGCCGCAAUUGCAACCAAGAUAAGCUGAUCUUUGGCGACGGGGACGGACGCAAGGGAAAAUUCUGCGGGCGCAAGAGAGGCGGCCUCGCGUGGGAGAGCGAGACGGGAUGGCUCAGUCUGUUCUUCAGGUCCAACACUCGCGGCCAGAGACGUGGCUUCACCUGCAACGUCUGCG
Molecule: long non-coding RNA, 518 nt
Organism: Penaeus chinensis
Lineage: Eukaryota; Metazoa; Arthropoda; Malacostraca; Decapoda; Penaeidae
Exons: 3
Source: RefSeq, a predicted model, not a curated record